This 368-nucleotide transfer-messenger RNA is filed under the name Sanguibacter gelidistatuariae. RNAcentral's name for it is "Standard tmRNA". It matches the Rfam family "transfer-messenger RNA". Rfam says of the family: Bacterial tmRNA, also known as 10Sa RNA or SsrA, is named for its dual tRNA and mRNA-like properties. The record is from Rfam by way of RNAcentral. Lineage: Bacteria; Bacillati; Actinomycetota; Actinomycetes; Micrococcales; Sanguibacteraceae.
GGGGGUGAUCGGUUUCGACGGUGGUCGUGUUUCGAGGAGAAGCGUGCCGAGGAUGCAGACUUAUCUCGUAAACGAUGUCUGCAAAACAAUAGGUGCCGAUUCCAAGCGCACCGACUUCGCACUCGCCGCUUGAGCGAGUUCUGAAGUCCGUUAGCCCAGGGUAGCUUCCGCUCUGGUUCCUAGCGUCAUCUAGGGAGCCACUGCUUGUAACGUUUGUUGUUGGCGUUGCAGGGACUUUUAGACAACUGGGCCUGUCAGCUACUUGUCCGCGAGAGUGCUGAGGCCGAGAAAAUCCAUAGCGGACUGCGCACGGAGAAGUCCUCGAUUUGCGCCAUCGGACCGGGGUUCGAUUCCCCGCACCUCCACCA